CCUACGGGGCGCUGCAGUGAGGAAUAUUGGUCAAUGGACGAGAGUCUGAACCAGCCAAGUAGCGUGAAGGAUGACUGCCCUAUGGGUUGUAAACUUCUUUUAUAUGGGAAUAAAAUGUUCCACGUGUGGGAUUUUGUAUGUACCAUAUGAAUAAGGAUCGGCUAACUCCGUGCCAGCAGCCGCGGUAAUACGGAGGAUGCGAGCGUUAUCCGGAUUUAUUGGGUUUAAAGGGUGCGUAGGCGGACUGUUAAGUCAGCGGUAAAAGCCCGGGGCUCAACCCCGGCGAGCCGUUGAAACUGGCUGUCUUGAGAUGUCGAGAGGUAUGCGGAAUGCGCAGUGUAGCGGUGAAAUGCUUAGAUAUUGCGCAGAACCCCGAUUGCGAAGGCAGCAUGCCGGCUUCCGACUGACGCUGAAGCACGAAAGCGUGGGGAUCGAACAGGAUUAGAUACCCCUGUAGUC
Molecule: ribosomal RNA, 459 nt
Filed under: uncultured bacterium
Lineage: Bacteria
Description: partial 16S ribosomal RNA
Rfam family: Bacterial small subunit ribosomal RNA
Source: RNAcentral